CAUCCCUCAGUCUCCAUCACACAGUUAUCAGCUACUUGCCUGGGGUUAGAUCUUCAUUACUGUUUGAACUGCUGCUCCUGGCCGGGGGCUCCUGGGACGCCAAGCUGCCUUCGUGCCUCUCUGCAUCUCCCUCGGCCUCUGGCUCAGCCGCCCUGCCACUAGGAACCAGAUGGGAGCCUGGGCACAGGCUGCGAGCCAGGAAAGGACCCUUCCUAGCAGUAACGGGAAGCCCUAAUCCCCACCACACAGACAAGCUGAGAAAAACAGAUGACAGCCAGAGUGAGCGUUUUUGUCAAACUCAAGCUGGAUUCUGUCAUAACUCAACAGUCCUUUUCAGCUCUGCCGCCAGACCAGACGGCUCCGGCUCUGAGUCCCUGGCAGCCAGCAGCAGCUGGAAACCAAGAAGGAGGCUGGAAGCUGGUGGGCCAUGCAGAGUAUUCCUGAAGCAGCAUGACUAAGGACCCUUGAGCAUCGCAGGCUCCUACAUCGUUGGUUCUUAACUGGAGGACCCGCAGGAGGCGAAGGAGAUCGGUUUCCACUCAGAGGAGCACAGAGAAGCUGGGACUAUGGCUGCAAAGCCCCCUAAGAAGUCCUCCAUCCCAGGAGUGAGCAUCAGGCAGCUGGUGGACGAGAUCCCAGAAGGCUGCAGCACACCAGAUUUCAAGCAGAAGCCUGUUACCUUGGCUCUACCAGAGGGGAAAAACGCCAUCUUUCGGGCGGUGGUCUGUGGGGAACCCAGACCUGAAGUGCACUGGCAGAGCAGCAAAGGAGACCUCAGCAACUCCGCCAAGUACCAGAUAUCCUCUGCUCCCGGUAGAGAGGAGCACGUGCUUCAGAUCAACAAGCUGACUGGAGAGGAUUCGGAUCUGUACCGCUGCACUGCACUAAAUGCCUAUGGAGAAGCCACAUGCUCAGUGAGGCUUACGGUCAUUGAAGUGGGUUUUCGGAAGAACCGAAAAAGGCAAAAGGAACCUCAGGAGGACCUCAGGAAGGAGCUGAUGGACUUUCGGAAGAUGCUGAAAAAACGGGCCCCACCCCCAACCCCUGAAAAAAAGAUGGAGUCUGAGCAGGUGUGGCAGCUUUUGGUGACUGCAGACCGUAAGGACUACGAGAAGAUCUGUAUGCAGUAUGGUAUCGUCGACUUCCGGGGCAUGCUGCGCAAGUUGCAGGAGAUGAAAAAGGAACAGGAGGACAGAAUGGCCCAGUAUGUCAGUGCCAUUGCCAACUUGAGACACAUCAAGGUCACCAAGGAAGGGGUCGCUACGUUUGACCUGGAGCUGGAUCUCAAGAACCUCGAGAGCAAGAUUUACUUGUACAAGGAUGGUGAGAUGAUUCCCUACGGUGUUGAUAACCAGACCAAGCACUGUCUGAGACGGCUGGGGAAGCGCUACCACUUCCAGAUCCAGGACCUGCGGCCUGAGGAUGCUGGCCUUUACCAGGUCAUGGUGGAGGAUGCUGUGGUCUUCUCUACAGAGCUAGAAUCCAGAACCAUCCCCCCCAGAGUGGUGGUCCCAUUGGCAGAGACCCGCUGUGAGGAACGGGGUGAUGCAGUCUUUGAAUGUACCCUCUCCAAUCCCUGUCCCAGUGCGACCUGGCAUUUCCAGCACCGACCACUGCGGCUCAGUGACAAAUAUGAAGUAUUUGUGUCCCCUGAUGGGCUAACCCACCGACUGGUUGUGAAGGGGGCCAGUAGCUCAGACAUGGGCCUCUACUCGCUGAACACUGGGCUCCAUGCCUCCAGUGCCUGGCUGGUGGUUGAAGGUGGGAAGGAUAAAGGCCCUCAGACCACAGAUACUGACCACCGGCUGCAGACUCCAGAAGCUCUGGCCUCCGAAGCAGAAGACGCUGGAGGCAUCAGCAUCAAGGGAGGGCAAUCCAGAGAGCGGGGUUCCCUCAAAGAGAUUAGUGGGGCACAGCUCACAGCAGGCCCAGACAGGGGUGCCUUUGGCAAACAUGGCUAUCCCUUGGUGGUGGAUGAAGACAUAGUUAAUUCUACUUGGGGACCUGGGCAGGACAAAAAGAGCUUUCUGGAAGGAGGACAACUCAGGGUCACUCUUCCAGGGGAUAGUCAGUCCCAAAGAGAGGGAGACUGUGGUAGAAGCCUCCCCAGAAGGUCUCAUCUCCAGGGAGAGGAUACAGAAUCAGAUUUGGGCUUCCUGGAGAGAGGACAACAAGGGCCUGGUAGAGUUGACAGUGAGAAUGGCAGAUGGGAGACAGCAGGAGGCCAGAGUGCUGGCUCCAGCCAUCCUCGGGACAGAAGGCUUGAGAGCAGAGGAGAAGGACAGGAACACAGUGAGGGCCAUGGCAGUGAACUGGACAGAUAUGGCCAGGGACAAUGCCAUGAUCCUCAGCUGGGAGCAGGGGCAGGGCAGAGGGUGCCGUGGGGAUCCCAGUUUGAUGCUGAGGGGCUUCAGCUGAAAAAGGAGGGGACAGAAAUGUGGGGCGAUUGUCUGGAUGUGACGGAAGGUAGGGGUAACCUGAGAAAGGAGAGGGGAACAGCAGCAGGGUCAAGUAACAGAGCCCGCCUCUGGGAAGCUCGAGGAGGCAGUGGGGCCGGAAGUCCUUGCGUCCCUGAGUUUCCUAGAGGAGGAGCUCACAGCUCCAAGGCAGGCAUGGGCCCUGAGUGCUGGCCAGGUGGAGAUGCUGGCCAUGGAGAAGCUGGGGUAUACUGGGGGGCAGGGGGAUAUCCAGGACAGACAUCUGAGGGCAAUGACACCCAGAAAUCAUCACUAUCUGGAGACAGGAAACUUCUGGGGUGCACGAGUCCUGAGGCCAAAGCUGAGGGCUCUUUCCAGAGCGCAGAUGGUCAUGGGAUUGUGGGGAGGGUCUACAAACCUGGCCCUGAAGGCCCAGAAGAUCUUAGGAGUCAGAAAAGUGGCCUACAAGAGAUUCAGGGAAGGAAUGGUCAAGGCUCAGCUGGAGCCUUGGGCAGGACGGUGGAAGGUUCCAGAAGCCUCCAAUUUCCUCAGAGCUGGACAGUGGGACAGAGGGAAGCAGGGAAGCCAGGUGGAGCAGAGUAUGAAGACAUAGGUCCUCAGGAUGACACGUGGUCCAAUCUCAGAGAGAUGGGAGGCCACUGUGGGUCUGGAGUGCUGGCGUCUGGUGGGAGGGAAGGGAGCGUGGGCGGUUCCCAAGUAGCUGCCCUGAUGAUGUCUAGUCAGAGGGUAGAUGCCAGAAACCACAGGCUAGUUACAUCCCCAGGCCUGGGUGUCCAGGGUUCUGGCAGAACACUGGGACACAUGGAAGGAUUAAGAGACCCAGAGGCAGUGGGAUCCGAAGAAGAGUUCUGGAAUGGGUCAGGAAGGUCCCAAGGAAAAGGGUCCAGAGGUGGGAUGGGCUUAGGAGGUCCAGAGUGGGCAGAGUCUAGGAAUGAGGAGGGAUGGGAGAAUUCUGAAGGGAUGGCUUCUAGGAAUGGAGCCACUUGUCGUGAUGGAUCCAGGAUGCAGGAAGGAACAGGAUCUGGCCCUGAUAUUGGUUGCAAGGCCCCCUGUGGGGCACCUGCGGAGACAGAGUCUGGGAAGUGGGGUACUUACAGUCAUGACUCAGGGGUGCCUGGGGGAUUGUGGUCUGGAAGCAAAAGUCAGUGUAGUCCUGCAGGAAAGGUAUCUGGAAGAGAGGCCAGCCUCAGAAAUGGCUCAGCUGGCCUUCAUGGAAUGCCUUCUAGUGAAGCUCAGCAGAGGGAUGUAUUUCAAGGCCACGGUCAGACAGGCCACAUUGGAGAGCACCACUGUGCCCGUGGCUUAGGGAGUUCUGAGACAGUGGGAUCUGUGGGUGGACAUGGUAGGAAAGACUCUGGAACAGCGGGCAAGGUUGGAGAGGGAUACACAGAAGCAGAACCAGGGCACUCUGGAGGGUUGAGUUCUUGGGGUCACACUGGAGAUUAUGAGGACUUCCGAGUCCUGGGGGCCUUUAGGGAAGGAGACUUUGGCAAUGGCACUGGGGUUCCAUUAUCCAUGGGACCAAGGUCUCUGGAGAGAGGGGACAAGGAAGGAGAUGGAGAAAGGAUCAGUUUUCUUGGUGCCAGGACCUCUACAGUUGGAACUGGGAAUUGGGACAAAGCCAGGCACCCUGGGGCACCAUCUCCUCAUGAGGCCGGUUCAGAGGGCCACUGGGCUCAAGUGUCUGGCAAUGCAUUAGGUUGUAGAGAUGGGUCUGGAAUUCCAGAGCCUUGGAGUGCUGGCGACAAAACAGCUUAUGGAGAAGAAUCAAAGGGUCUUGGGCCUGAAAGAACAGGACCAGAUGGUGAGGUGGCAUUUAGAGGUAGCUCUUCGAGCCUCAGAGGAAUGGGACCAGCAAGUGAGGCAAGUUAUAAAAGUGGAACUUGGGGCCCUGGGGCUGUGGGUUCAGGGUUUAAGGUAGAUUGUAGGAAUGAUCUUGGGUGUUCUGGAAGUAUGGGGUCAGAGAGUAAAGCAGGUUAUAAGAACAAAAUUGAGAGUCAUGGGGUCAGGGAGUUAGGGGACCUGACAGGCUAUAAAAAUGAUUUAGGACCUUCUGAACUUAUUUCAUCAAGGAAUGAGGCACGUGGUUUAGAACAUUCUGGAGACAUUUUGUCAUGGAAUAAGGCAGGUUUAAGGGAUGGCUUGGGAGAAACAGGAAGAAUGGAGUCCAAGAAUGGGGUUGGUUAUAGGGGAAGCUCAGUGGGUCCUGGGGAAAUGGGGUCAGAGAGGAAAAUGCACCUUGCAGAUGGUUCAGGGAGGCUAGGAGGACCAGGGUCACUGGCUGCGCCCAAAGAACAUGAAUCUGUGGGUCUUGGGUCAGUUUAUGAGGGAGCAGCAGAGAUUGGCUCCAAAUAUAAUAGGGAGAAAGUCAGAGGAAUGGGGUUUAGAGAUGCAACAGGGCCUGAGGUGGGCUCUGGGGUAGCUGGAAUGCUGGAUAUUACAGGUGGCAUAGCACACGGGGACAGUGCUAUGGGCACAGAGAAGCUGGGGACACCAGAUAGGCCUUAUAUCUUGUCAGGUGGGCAGGGUACCAAGAACAGUCUUGGGGGCUGUGUGUCCUUGGGAAUCCCUGACGCCUUGGGGGCUGUUGGCUCUGUGGGGAAACCAGGUAUCAGAGAAUGGAAAGAUGAUUCUGGGUUCCAAGGGUCUCUCAGGGACAGAGGGACUCCGAGUGAGGAGAUCAGAUCUGUAGACCAAGCAGGAGCUAUAGGGACAUCUCGGCUUCUUGAUAGUAGGGGGGCAGUGGAGGAUGGGAGUGGGUCAGAAAAUGACUUUGACUUUAAUAAAUCAGGCUUGGAGACAACAGGAAGAUGUAGAGUUGCUGACCAGCAGGGAGUGACACCACAGGGAUGUGGAGGCUCAUUGCUCAAUGGCAGGAGGAAGGGAACAAGUUCUGGAAGCUUGUCAGGGGUAGGGCAGGAGGUAGACAGAAGUUCUACACCUGGGAGGGAGACCAAGGUAAUGUCAGGACCUGGCAGUGGGCGAGCCACAAGCCACACUCGGGCUGCAGACUGGGAAGACGGGGUUCAAUGCAGCUUCGGGGCUUCUAGCUCACUGCCUGAUACUGAUGCCAUUUUCAGAGAAACCCAUGCGGGACAAGGAGCCUUCAAGGGCAGGGGCUGUGAAACCGGCCAAGGGGCUGCUGGAGAGUGUCAAGGACCACGCUCCUUGGGGAGCAGAGGCUCAGAGUUUGUAGGGGGCAGGGCUGGAUUUACAGGGAGCUCAAGUGUUCCAGGCAGAAGGGAUUCCACUAUCUACGGAGAUGCUGUCACAUCAAAGCCACAGGAACCCCAGAAUGAAUUAUAUAGUCCUUUAGGCAGAAGGGACUUCAAAAGUGUAUCGGGAGGAAUCCAGGAGCCAGGUUUUCAACGAGGAACAGGACAGGGAGAAGGAAAAGAAUCCUUCCAGGAGUCAGGGUCCUGGGAGGCUGAGCUUGACGAGGUCCAAGGAUCCAGGGCCUCAGCAAAGUUUGAAAACCAGGGAGGGAAAGACCCUGGCUGGUCAGGCCAGAAGCCUGGUCCCUGUGGAAGCAGGCAUCAGGUGCAGUCUGGGACUGAAGUUGGAUCAGCAAAGAGAGCAACCCCACAGGGGGCCGGAGGGCUGGAGCCUUGGGCUGGCAGUGAGGAUAGAGGGUCUCUGAGAGAACCUUGGAGUGAAGACAGGAGGCAAGGCCCCCACAGGCACCUUGGCAGCAGGAGAGAUACCCAAGAGGGCAGGUCAGAUGUCUGUGGCCAGGCACAAGAUGCUACCCAGAGCCCCAGAUCCAGAUACCAGCCUGGCACUGGCCGCUCUUCUUCAGAGGCCCGAGGUAGGUACUCCCAGCUGGUGGCUCUUAUAGGGUGGAGCCAGAGGGUAGAGUCCUUGGACACAGGGGUGCCUACUUGCCAGUUCUACCUUCGGCACAGGAACUCAUCACUACCGGUGUCUCUAUUUCCCAGAAUCCCUUGCAAAUUCAAGGAGCCUCCGCUCCUGCUCCUUUCCUCUCCCCGUGCAGAAGGGAUCCAAGCUAUGUGAAACUCAAAGGUCUGCUUGGUGUUAACUCUUGAAACUCCAUGUCCAAGGUCCCAGAGUAUUAGCUUGCCUCUGUGACUCCAAAUGCCUCUCUGUGGGACUCGGGGGGUAUAUGUGGGGGGUUCUUUAUAUCUCCCUUACACCCUGAUCUCUGUGCCAGCCUAGGGAAAUGAGAAGCCGGGCAUUGCGUCUUACUGAGCCCUGUGGGCAGGACCAUAGAGGCUCCCCAGAAUUCAACACAGGCCAAAGCUGGGCUGUGGGGACUUCCUUUGUAUCUCUCUAGGCUCCAUGGACCACUUCUCUCAGGGUCUGACUGAUACAGAGGUGCAACUGGGGGAAGCCGCCAUAGUCUCCUGUACUCUUGCCAGUGACCUGGGACCUGGCACGUGGUUCAAGGAUGGAGUCAAGCUCACUGCCCAAGAUGGAGUCAUCUUUGAGCAAGAUGGGCUCACGCACAGACUGAUUCUCACCCACGUGGAGGGGACCCAGGCUGGGAAAUACACUUUUGUAGCCGGCUGCCAGCACAGCGAGGCCAGCCUGACCGUGCAGGAUCCCCCCACCAUUGCUCCAGAUGUGACAGAGACACUGAGAGAGCCACUGGUGUUCAAGGCUGGGAAGCCAGUCACCGUGAAAAUCCCUUUCCAGAGCCGCCUCCCUGUUCAGGCUGCCUGGAGGAAAGAUGGGAACGAGGUGGUGGGCGGCGACCACAAGGGCAUCCAACUGGCUCUGGCAGAUGGCUACACAUGGCUGUGCCUCCCCAGCGUGUGCAGGAAGGACAGUGGCCGGUACAGCGUGACGCUGAGGAGCGAGGGAGGCUGUGUGCAGGCUGAGUUCACCCUGCAAGUUAUAGGUGCUGACCCUGCCUGUUCUCCAGCCAGGGCCCCAGGGUUCUGGGGUCCCAGGACCUCCCUGGGAGCCUGGACCGGUCUGGGGAUGGACUCUGCUAGCCUUGGUCUUUAUUUGCAUGAGAGUUAAGAUCCUAAGCCACCCCUACUGACCCAUUUUCCCUGUCCCCAGACUGCCUAGGAAGAAGAGAUAGGCCAAGACCAGGUACAGGCUGGUGGACCCUGUUGUGUGAGCUCUAACACAACAGUCUGGGGGGAAGAUUAGUGGAAUGGUGGCCCCUAGUCUGUACCAGCAAGGUCAGAUUGCCUGUACAAGAGGACUAAGCAGAAGGUCAUGCUGGCUACUGAAUAGGGCUAGGUACAGGCUGGAGGUCCCAUUCCAUCUCCUAAGGCAGGACUGGGGAAGUAGAGACCAGAGACACCAAGAGACAUUUGGAACCUACCCAGGAGCUCCGCCUUGCCUCAGCCUCUGGCUGUGUCAGGAACCAUGUGUAUCUCUGGGCUGUCCAUCCCUUUACAGACUUAUCCGAUGAUGAGGGGGUUAAGUAACAUGCCCCCUCCCAGCUUCUCUGACUCCUCUCUCCUCCUGUUUCUCUCCACGGGUCCUCAGACAAGCCUCAGCCCCCACAAGGACCCCUGGAGGUUCAGGAUUGCCACAGAGCAGGUGUCUGCCUCCGCUGGCUACCCCCGAGGGACAACGGGGGCCAGGUCAUACAACACUAUGUGGUGGAGAGGCGACAGGCUGGAAGGAGCACUUGGUUGAAGGUGGGCGAGCCCCCAUCAGACAGUACCAGCUUCACCGACACCAGCGUGGAGCAGGGAAAGAAAUAUGCCUUCCGUGUGCGGGCUGUGACCUCAGUGGGAGCCGGAGAUGCCCUGGAGUCAGAGGAGGUGUUGGUGGCUCCUGAGGCUCUCCCGGGGCCCCCUUCUGCCCCAGCCAUCCUGUCAGCCUCCAGUCAGAGCAUCACUCUCACAUGGGGGGCACCACAGGGCCCUGGCAGUAACCACAUCCUGGGCUACCUGAUCGAGAAGCACAAGAAGGGGAGCAACACCUGGAUGGCUGUGAAUGAGCAGCCCGUGUCUGAAGGUACACUGUGGUGGGUCUGCGACAGGGCUGCCAGUAUGAGUUCCGGGUCACGGCCGUGACUCUGUCGGGCCCUGGAGAUCCUGGGCCUCCAUCGGAUGCUGUCUUUGCUAGAGACCCUAUGAGACCCCCAGGGCCUGUGCGGGAUCUACAGGUUACAGACACAUCAAACACUAGCAUCACCGUGAGCUGGAUGGUGCCGGAUGCCCGGGAUGCUGAUGAAGCCCAGGGAUAUAUUGUGGAGUUGUGUGGUUCAGACAGCCAUCAAUGGAGCCCAUGUCACGUGGGAACUGUGCCGGGCACCACCUUCACAGCCAAGGGGCUUCGGCCGCAAGAAGGCUACUUUGUGCGGGUGACAGCAGUUAAUGAUGGGGGCCGGAGCCAGGCCACUUCCCUGGACACAUUGGUUCAUGCCAUGCCGGCCACUGUCUGUCCCAGGUUCCUCAUGGACUCCGGCACAAAGGAUACCCUGAUGGUCAGGGUUGGGGACAGUAUUCGCGUUCCUCUCUCCUUUGAAGCUGCCCCCAUGCCUGAGGUGACCUGGCUGAAGGACGGCUUGCCCUUGCCCAAAAGAAGUGUGACCACUGUGAAGGCUGGCCUCACGCAGCUUCUGAUCCCUGCAGCUAGCCUCUCGGACUGUGGCCGAUACACCGUGAUGCUGAGGAACCUACAGGGGAAGGAAGCUACCCACAGCUUCUUCAUCAAUGUAGCAGCAUGCCCACAGGCACCAGGUUCUAUCUACCUACAGGAGAAUGUGCCUGGGACAGUGACGGUCCAGUGGGAACCCUCUCCGGAUGAGGCUCAGGGCAUCCCCUUGCAUUACACAGUGCUGAUGCGGUCCUCAUCUCACCGAUCCUGGCACGAGGUGGCCGACCAUGUCCGUACCAACCGCUUUACCCUCCUAGGGGUCCUCCCUGGCCAUGAGUACCACUUUCGGGUGCUGGCCAAGAAUGAGCUGGGGGUCAGCAAACCUUCAGACACCAGCCAACCCUGGUGUAUCCCCAGGCAGAGAGACAGGUUCACAGUGAAGUCUCCGACAUACCAGGAUCCUGACCUGAGCCAGAAGCCCCGCUUCCUGGUGGGUCUGCGGGCUCACCUUCUGCCCCAGGGCUGUGAGUGCCGCAUGACGUGUGCCGUGCAGGGCUCACCCCAGCCUCAUGUCACCUGGUUCAAGAAUGACCAAAGCUUGGACAGAAACCCUGCGGUGUACAGUACUGACUUGCUGGGUGUGUGCUCCCUCGUCAUCCCCAGCGUGUCCCUUAAGGACAGUGGUGAAUACAAGGCUGUGGCCAAGAACCCACUGGGACAAGCUGUCAGCACAGCCACCCUCAUUGUCACAGAAUACGACUCCUAGGCCACUUGAUCCAGAAUGCUGGCCUUGCCCCACCCUACAGCUAUGAGAUGGAUGGCAAAUCUCUGAAGCUUUGCUGCUGAUACCCACACUGGCCUGGGGUCCCAGCAGUCCAGCGUGACAGUGGAUGUUCCUGGGUGAGACAGGAACAAGGGGUCUUCUGGUGAGAUGCAUCCAGAAGGGCUGAAGUCCUUGAAGAAGAACUAGAAGAAGAGUGGAGGAUGUAGUCUUAAGCUGAAUGAUGGCUCAGAGUGACCCUGUUACUAAGGGUGUCUGUGUUCUGCACCUCUGAACGAAGCUCCAGAGAGGGUGGUGCAUGGGGUGGAAGCUGAGCCCACUGUGACCAGAGGAAUGGAAAUUCAGAGAGGGCAGAGGACCUGGGUGAGGGCAUCAAGGAUGGGGCUUGCGGGCUAUCUGUACUUCAUUAAAAGGACAGACUGUCAAAGGUGAAUUCUUUGCAGAGUAACUUGGGGCUGCUUGGUUGAAGGAAGCCAAACCUCGGAGUUGAGAAUGUCUAGGCUCACGGGAGUGAUUCAGGACUGUGUUCAUCGGCAGCAGGGCAGAAAAGCCAGGGUAGGGGACACAGUCUGUAAGGCGGAGGCUCCCUUCUCUUGGCUCCUGCUUUCUGCAUGCCCUGCAAAAACCCUGGGACGAGCAUGACUUAAGCCUCCCUAAACAUUGUGUGCAUAGAGACUGUGAGCCAGUUGUUCCUCCCUGGAGGCAGCAGCAUUCUGAACUGGGGAGAGUUCCACUGCAAUCUGUUCUGGGGGCUCCUGUCAGCAGAGCCAGGAGACUAUCAAGCACAUAAAGAUUUGAUUCUCA
This is an RNA transcript of Mus musculus (house mouse), 10551 nucleotides long. It is a transcript of the gene named immunoglobulin-like and fibronectin type III domain containing 1, with no coding region annotated. The transcript has 26 exons. The record is from RefSeq and is marked validated. NCBI's taxonomy places the organism in Eukaryota, Metazoa, Chordata, Mammalia, Rodentia, Muridae.